UAGCCAGAGAUGAGUUAUUAAACCAACAAGUAAAUAGAUGAAUGUGAAGCCUGCCUCAGCUUUUAUUAUACUUCCAUUUCCCCCACGUUUUAAAUGAUGCGUUUGAACAAGGUCUCUCAAAAAGGAUCGUUUCUUGCCGCACGUGACCAAAAUCUUCCCGCUCCCUCCUGACUGCUGUAUUUUCCCAUUAUCGUCCAAAGCACAUUAGAUACGUGGGUAUAGCCAUUUCCUUGAAGCACCGUUGCAGCCGCAGUCACGCCACACUUGCUGAGUCUGCGUGUGGGCAAGCGUGUUUAUGUUUAGGAGGUAUUUGAAAGGUUUCAAAAACGAUGUCCUCUUGGGAGCCAUAUUCAUCACAGUCGACCCCAUGGGCUUAAUCUUUUUCCUUAACUAUGAACUUUAGUACAGACCCGUUUCCUAGCACACAGCACUUUCUGAACAGCGAGACUAAUUCAGCCCCAAAGCAAUUUUCUUUCCAGCAGUAGAAGCAGCAGCAGGUUGUUGUCAGGUGAAAGUGGCUUUAAUUUUCGCUUUUAUUGUCCUGGAGGUGCCAAGAUGCCUGUAGGAUGGAUGGCACAUUGAAAGUGAGCAGAUAUGGAGCAUCUUCCAUCAAGAAUAGACACAGUUCGGUCAUGCUACUGUCGGCCAAUGAGAAAAAACAGCUAUCUGGAAUGCGUUCUGUAGAAGAGAAGUUUCAGGAUCAUUUUGGCAGGGGCAAGAUUUUGCUCGGAUCUGCUGUGCCUCUGCAAAACACUGCAUUCAUUAUCUCUUUCCAUUGAUUGAAAAUGCCCUUGGUUCAGGGUGAAAGCCGCAUGAAACUCCACUCAGUGAAGAGUGAUUUUCCUUUUCCCAGUUUCAAAGCUGCCAGGAAGGCCAAACUAACCAUGUUUAGUGGUCCAAAAGUUUUGCUGCUCAUGUGGACCCGGUGACCUGGGAGCACCCUUGCAGCCCCCUAUUUCUAGGAAAAGAGAGAUCAUUCCUCAUCCUGCUGGAGAAAGAAGGUUGUGCUGUCCCCUGGUCCUUUUACAUAUUGCCUUCCUCUCUCAGACCCAAAAGGAUUUUGUGCCCACAUAUCCCGUGGGGCAGUGGAAAAGGAAAGCAGCAGCUAUGCUGCUUGGAUGGGAGUAGGAAAUGGUCUAAUCGUUUCCAUCCUGGCGUUGGAUGAAGCUUUGGGCCCCACUUUGAACAAGCGGAUGGCCUGACACAGCAUUCAGCAAUAUUUUGCUGGCAUGCUUAGUGAAUUUAAGGAGACGAGCAAGCCUCUUCCAAUCUGCAGCCUUGAGAUUUGCCCAGCUGGACCCCCUGCCUCUAGGAUAAGCUGUUAAACCUGUUGAUCAAGGGCUGAAAAUAGAGGAGGGGUUCACUGCACUGAAGGGCGAUGCUUAAUUUUACCCAUUUGAGCCGGGAACAGGACACAGAGACAGGAACCAUUUGCAGGAACUAGCAGCAAGUGCCUCCCAGAUAUAUUAGUACCCAGGCUCUUGCUGCAGUGGUGAUUGCUGUGUCACAACCUCUGGAAGGAUUGCUUUGCUUUUGCAUCAAAUGGAGGAGGAGAAAAGCUGCAGUGGGGGAAAGGGGUCUUAUAUACAUGGCAAGUGCUGAGAGAGCAAGAGCACCAUGUCCCUGGGCUAAAUGCAGGGAGCUCAGUGAUCUCAGUCUGGUCCCCAGCAAAUGAAUGGUCGUGUCACAAAAUGUAGCCAGCACGGAUGUCACAAUUGCAGCAGAGUUGAUGGAUGGGCAUAAAGACAGAGUUAGUGUCUUGCUUCAAGACAGAGGCAUGUGGAGGGAAGUUUGCUGCUGCACCCGGUUCACCCUUUUUCUGAGUAGGAACCAUCAGUCACUAGAUCUGUCAGGCCAGCCAGCUUCACCGGUACAGAAUUCACACCAAGCACAUUUGUCUUGAACACCCGGGUGUAAAAACAAGGAGAGCUCCAGGCAGGGAAGCGGUUGCCCAGGCCGUCCAUCCGUGUCAAACCUCCCCAGCGCCAGCACCCUCUGUUCCCACCACACACAGUUUAGACCCCCUUAGGGCCAAACCUGCCUUCCUCUCUCAUGUCAUUGAGGCAGCAGGAUUCAUUGCAGUUACACAUGCAGCUAAAAGGAGAAGGAUUUGGACUCAGGCUUUCAAUGUUUAUAUUGAAACCUUUAUUGGAGAUAAAUACGUGGAGAGCUGGCAGCAGCCGCUUGAUUUGAGUAGUUCUGUCCUGGUUUAUAUCGUCUCUAUAAGCCCAGUGAAUCCCAAACCAAGAAGAAAUCUUCAUGAUCUAGACACGGCGGGACUGUGACUCAGUGGUCAGGGAGCAGAGAUACAGAACCUCUGCCACUGGGCUGCUGUGUGACCUUGGUCGGGUCACUUAACUGCUUCGUGCUGCUCUUUCCCCAGCGGUAAAAAGAGGACAGUGCUGCAAGGCAGCUUCCUGGAAGGUUUGGGGCCCUCCCUCUCUAAAGAGCU
Molecule: long non-coding RNA, 2452 nt
Organism: Gavialis gangeticus (Gharial)
Lineage: Eukaryota; Metazoa; Chordata; Crocodylia; Gavialidae
Exons: 2
Source: RefSeq, a predicted model, not a curated record